RNAcentral lists this ribosomal RNA (479 nucleotides) under uncultured bacterium. Its description in RNAcentral is "bacterial SSU rRNA". It matches the Rfam family "Bacterial small subunit ribosomal RNA", at positions 15 to 518 of the family's 1533-position model. The record is from RNAcentral.
GAUCAUGGCUCAGAACGAAUGCUGGCGGCAGGCUUAACACAUGCAAGUUGAGCGGGAUUGAUUGAUAGCUUGCUAUUAAUCAUGAGAGCAGCGCACUGGUGAGUAACACGUGGGAACAUACCUUUUUGGUGGGGGACAACAGUUGGAAACGACUGCUAAUACCGCAUAAGCCCUGAGGGGGAAAGGAGAGAUUUUGCCGAAAGAUUGGCCCGCGGAAGAUUAGGUAGUAGGUGGGGCAACGGCCUACCUAGCCGACGAUCUAUAGCUGGUCUGAGAGGACGAUCAGCCACAUUGGAACUGAGACACGGUCCAGACUCCUACGGGAGGCAGCAGUGAGGAAUAUUGGGCAAUGGAGGGAACUCUGACCCAGCCAUGCCGCGUGAGUGAAGAAGGUUUUCGGAUUGUAAAGCUCUUUCGGACGGGAAGAUAAUGACGGUACCGUCUAAAGAAGCACCGGCUAACUUCGUGCCAGCAGCUGC